GUGUAUUGAAUUGAGAUUUUAAAGAAGUUUCAAAGCUUAGAUUUUAUACAAGUUUAUAAAAUUCUUUAUUUAAUUCAAACUUUUUAAAGUUCAAAUUUGGAGGUAUUCAAUGGCGAUUUUAAACGACUACAUUAAAAUUUGGGUUAUUCAAAAAAAUCAUUGACUUUAAAGGAAACAUAAAAAGUGAUCAAUUUCGUUGGAGAGGUUUUUCUUUUUUUUUUCUUUUUUUUUCAAUUUUAAAAAUAUAAAAUUAGUUUCUUUACUUUUUUUUUUUGGCCAACUUCUUUAAUUUAAU
This 295-nucleotide long non-coding RNA is filed under the name Prunus persica (peach). Its description in RNAcentral is "long non-coding RNA (PPER_LNC001755)". Lineage: Eukaryota; Viridiplantae; Streptophyta; Magnoliopsida; Rosales; Rosaceae. The record is from RNAcentral.